AGGCUUUUAGUGUAGCGGUAACACAACAGACUCCAAAUCUGUUAACGUGGGUUCGAUUCCUGCAAAGCCUG
RNAcentral lists this transfer RNA (71 nucleotides) under Caudoviricetes sp. Its description in RNAcentral is "tRNA-Trp". It matches the Rfam family "tRNA". From Rfam's summary of the family: Transfer RNA (tRNA) molecules are approximately 80 nucleotides in length. Their secondary structure includes four short double-helical elements and three loops (D, anti-codon, and T loops). Further hydrogen bonds mediate the characteristic L-shaped molecular structure. tRNAs have two regions of fundamental functional importance: the anti-codon, which is responsible for specific mRNA codon recognition, and the 3' end, to which the tRNAs corresponding amino acid is attached (by aminoacyl-tRNA synthetases). tRNAs cope with the degeneracy of the genetic code in two manners: having more than one tRNA (with a specific anti-codon) for a particular amino acid; and 'wobble' base-pairing, i.e. permitting non-standard base-pairing at the 3rd anti-codon position. The record is from RNAcentral. Lineage: Duplodnaviria; Heunggongvirae; Uroviricota; Caudoviricetes.